UCCAGGUACCAUUUAAAAGGUUUACACUUCAACUUCUCUCUGAGUUUUUUCCUUUCAGAGACGUCUCCUAUGUCAAAUCCGUGAUUCUACAGAAGCCAAAAGUCGAUUACUCUUGAGCUGCUGAUAACUUCCAAUUCUACCAACCUCGGCCACUCGCAGGGCGUUCCUCUUCAUGGCGGGACCCAGGUCCCGCAUGUACGGCUUGUGGUAUCGCUCGAUGUGGGCGAUCUUGGAGCACGGCACCACUUCGACGCUGCCGCCGCACGUCCACACCUUCGGCGUGGGAUCAACGUCAUGAUUUACAGCACAAGCAAACGGUUUUGACCCAAGUCCAGACAGAGGCCGAUCACUCACGCGAAUUCCCAGCUCAACGUUUUCCCCACCGUACACUCUCAUCCCUUCAUCGAGGACUCCAACUUCCCCCAGGAACUUCCUUUCAGCAACAAAGAUUCCCAUGACAGACGGACUCCUGAAAAAAAGUCAUUGUAAAACACAUAUUAUGUACAUAAUAUGUACUUCAGUUUCUUUAUAAAUCCAAACAUGACUGACUGCUGGACUUGAACUCACUUCCCAGGCAGAGAGCCGUCUUUCAGCUUGUAAUAAUCUGGAGUAAAGCCCUCGUACAUGCACCACAAGGCCCAGUCGAAGGCGUGCGCCGCCGGCUCGUAGCGAAUGACCCGGAGGUCAUCGAAGUUGACCCUGUCAAACACAGGGGACACCACCACGGUGCGGUCGCCUUUGAUCUGUGUCAGCAGAGGUUCUGCCCUGCGUCAAAAAGGAGUAGAAGCAAACAACAUAAUAGUUACAAUAUUAUUAUUAAUAUUUUAGACUUUUAUUUGUUACUGGGUUUGGGUGGAUGCUGGCCCUGGAUAACCCUACAGUAUGUUCCUCAAUAACUUUGUGCUAUGUCACCCGUCACAAUGUAAAAGAUUGAUGAUUUUCCAGUGUCUCUGAUAGAACAAUAGACCUGCACCCUUAUUACCAACAGGCUGUUUUUGUUAUGGAUCAGUGCUAGUCACUCCUUUAUUACCUCACUGCCUAUUAAUGUGACUGUAAUGUGAUAUUUAAACAGGUGGAGCACACA
Molecule: long non-coding RNA, 1084 nt
Organism: Betta splendens (Siamese fighting fish)
Lineage: Eukaryota; Metazoa; Chordata; Actinopteri; Anabantiformes; Osphronemidae
Exons: 2
Source: RefSeq, a predicted model, not a curated record